CCUACGGGAGGCUGCAGUGGGGAAUUUUGGACAAUGGGGGCAACCCUGAUCCAGCCAUGCCGCGUGCGGGAAGAAGGCCUUCGGGUUGUAAACCGCUUUUAGUCGGGAAGAAAAGGCGUGGCCUAAUACGCUGCGUUCUUGACGGUACCGGCGGAAUAAGCACCGGCUAACUACGUGCCAGCAGCCGCGGUAAUACGUAGGGUGCGAGCGUUAAUCGGAAUUACUGGGCGUAAAGCGUGCGCAGGCGGUUCGUUAAGUCUGAUGUGAAAGCCCCGGGCUCAACCUGGGAAUGGCAUUGGAAACUGGCGGGCUUGAGUGUGGCAGAGGGGGGUGGAAUUCCGCGUGUAGCAGUGAAAUGCGUAGAGAUGCGGAGGAACACCGAUGGCGAAGGCAGCCCCCUGGGCUAACACUGACGCUCAGGCACGAAAGCGUGGGGAGCAAACAGGAUUAGAUACCCCGGUAGUC
This 465-nucleotide ribosomal RNA is filed under the name uncultured beta proteobacterium. RNAcentral's name for it is "bacterial SSU rRNA". It matches the Rfam family "Bacterial small subunit ribosomal RNA", at positions 338 to 795 of the family's 1533-position model. The record is from RNAcentral. Lineage: Bacteria; Pseudomonadati; Pseudomonadota; Betaproteobacteria.